UACGUAGGGUGCAAGCGUUGUCCGGAAUUAUUGGGCGUAAAGAGCUCGUAGGCGGUCUGUCGCGUCUGCGGUGAAAACUCGGGGCUUAACCCCGGGCCUGCAGUGGGUACGGGCAGACUAGAGUGCGGUAGGGGAGACUGGAAUUCCUGGUGUAGCGGUGAAAUGCGCAGAUAUCAGGAGGAACACCGGUGGCGAAGGCGGGUCUCUGGGCCGAUACUGACACUGAGAAGCGAAAGCGUGGGGAGCGAACAGG
Molecule: ribosomal RNA, 253 nt
Filed under: uncultured bacterium
Lineage: Bacteria
Description: partial 16S ribosomal RNA
Rfam family: Bacterial small subunit ribosomal RNA
Source: RNAcentral